GACGAACGCUGGCGGCGUGCUUAACACAUGCAAGUCGAACGGAAAGGCCCUGCUUUUGUGGGGUGCUCGAGUGGCGAACGGGUGAGUAACACGUGAGUAACCUGCCCUUGACUUUGGGAUAACUUCAGGAAACUGGGGCUAAUACCGGAUAGGAGCUCCUGCUGCAUGGUGGGGGUUGGAAAGUUUCGGCGGUUGGGGAUGGACUCGCGGCUUAUCAGCUUGUUGGUUGGGUAGUGGCUUACCAAGGCUUUGACGGGUAGCCGGCCUGAGAGGGUGACCGGCGACAUUGGUACUGAGAGACGGCGCAGACUGCAACGGGAGGCAGCAGUGGGGAAUAUUGCACAAUGGGCGGAAGCCUGAUGCAGCAACGCCGCGUGCGGGAUGACGGCCUUCGGGUUGUAAACCGCUUUCGCCUGUGACGAAGCGUGAGUGACGGUAAUGGGUAAAGAAGCACCGGCUAACUACGUG
This 468-nucleotide ribosomal RNA is filed under the name uncultured bacterium. RNAcentral's name for it is "partial 16S ribosomal RNA". It matches the Rfam family "Bacterial small subunit ribosomal RNA", at positions 28 to 507 of the family's 1533-position model. The record is from RNAcentral.